UCGCUACUACCGAUUGAAUGGCUUAGUGAGCUCUCUGGAUUGUUGCAUCCUUGUGGAAACGCAGGGGAGCAUACGAAAAGGAGAUCAAACUUGAUCAUUUAGAGGAAGUAA
Molecule: ribosomal RNA, 111 nt
Filed under: uncultured eukaryote
Lineage: Eukaryota
Description: partial small subunit ribosomal RNA
Rfam family: Eukaryotic small subunit ribosomal RNA
Source: RNAcentral